GAUGAACGCUGGCGGCGUGCCUAAUACAUGCAAGUCGAGCGAACAGACGAGGAGCUUGCUCCUCUGACGUUAGCGGCGGACGGGUGGGUAACACGUGGAUAACCUACCUAUAAGACUGGGAUAACUUCGGGAAACCGGAGCUAAUACCGGAUAAUAUAUUGAACCGCAUGGUUCAAUAGUGAAAGACGGUUUUGCUGUCACUUAUAGAUGGAUCCGCGCCGCAUUAGCUGGUUGGUAAGGUAACGGCUUACCAAGGCAACGAUGCGUAGCCGACCUGAGAGGGUGAUCGGCCACACUGGAACUGAGACACGGUCCAGACUCCUACGGGAGGCAGCAGUAGGGAAUCUUCCGCAAUGGGCGAAAGCCUGACGGAGCAACGCCGCGUGAGUGAUGAAGGUCUUCGGAUCGUAAAACUCUGUUAUUAGGGAAGAACAAAUGUGUAAGUAACUAUGCACGUCUUGACGGUACCUAAUCAGAAAGCCACGGCUAACUACGUG
RNAcentral lists this ribosomal RNA (497 nucleotides) under uncultured bacterium. RNAcentral describes it as "partial 16S ribosomal RNA". It matches the Rfam family "Bacterial small subunit ribosomal RNA", at positions 28 to 507 of the family's 1533-position model. The record is from RNAcentral.